AACGAACGCUGGCGGCAUGCCUAACACAUGCAAGUCGAACGAGACCUUCGGGUCUAGUGGCGCACGGGUGCGUCACGCGUGGGAACCUGCCCUUAGGUUCGGAAUAACUCCCCGACAGGGGUGCUAAUACCGGAUAAUGUCUUCGGACCAAAGAUUUAUCGCCUUUGGAUGGGCCCGCGUUGGAUUAGCUAGUUGGUAGGGUAAAAGCCUACCAAGGCGACGAUCCAUAGCUGGUCUGAGAGGAUGAUCAGCCACACUGGGACUGAGACACGGCCCAGACUCCUACGGGAGGCAGCAGUGGGGAAUAUUGGACAAUGGGCGAAAGCCUGAUCCAGCAAUGCCGCGUGAGUGAUGAAGGCCUGAGGGUUGUAAAGCUCUUUUACCCGGGAUGAUAAUGACAGUACCGGGAGAAUAAGCUCCGGCUAACUCCGUG
Molecule: ribosomal RNA, 433 nt
Filed under: uncultured bacterium
Lineage: Bacteria
Description: partial 16S ribosomal RNA
Rfam family: Bacterial small subunit ribosomal RNA
Source: RNAcentral